Molecule: long non-coding RNA, 658 nt
Organism: Capsicum annuum
Lineage: Eukaryota; Viridiplantae; Streptophyta; Magnoliopsida; Solanales; Solanaceae
Exons: 2
Source: RefSeq, a predicted model, not a curated record
AAUCACAAAUUAUGAAUCACAAAUAAAUUUUAUAUUUUUCCUGUAGUGACCCCUACCUUAACCAUCCAUAGCUUUUAUUGAUUUCAUUUGAAAACUUGACAGUACAAAUGAAGUAGAUUUUUUUGGUUGUAUUGCUGCUGCUGUUAAUCACCUGAUCUUUGUGAAUGUAUGCUACUAAAUGUUCCAUUGUAUCAUCAUAAUGUCGGGUAUCUGCACGUGCAGUGCACUUUUACGGCACUGAGAUGUUGUCCUCUGCAUAAUAUAGUACUAUAAAAGGAUGUGCAUUCUGUUGCGCCGCUUGUCAACCAGAUAUUCUGAGGAGAACAUUGGUUCCCAGACCCAGAGGAAAAUACCCUUUUUAUGUUGGAAAAUAUGGUUAAGCUUUUACUGCACACCUGCAUUCAGCUAUGUGCUCCACGGAGUAGAUGGGGCUAUCCUUAAGGACCUUCACACAAAAUACCAAUGCAAUACCUGUGAACUCUGAUAUCAACAGAAAGCUGAAUGUCCCUCCCUGGCUGCAUACUCCCUAGUGGCAUUCGUCUAUUUAUCCCUUUCAUAUUUGUAUUUGCACUCUCUGUGCAGGCUUAGCUGUUUGGAAUCUGGUUUUGUGGUAGCUACAAUAUUGUCCAUUUUAUUGUUAUUUAUCCUUUUUGAUGCU